RNAcentral lists this ribosomal RNA (440 nucleotides) under uncultured bacterium. RNAcentral describes it as "partial 16S ribosomal RNA". It matches the Rfam family "Bacterial small subunit ribosomal RNA", at positions 338 to 795 of the family's 1533-position model. The record is from RNAcentral.
CCUACGGGAGGCAGCAGUGGGGAAUAUUGCACAAUGGGGGAAACCCUGAUGCAGCAACGCCGCGUGAGUGAAGAAGUAUUUCGGUAUGUAAAGCUCUAUCAGCAGGGAAGAGAAUGACGGUACCUGACUACGAAGCCCCGGCUAACUACGUGCCAGCAGCCGCGGUCAUCCGGAGGGGAGGAGCGUUAUCCGGAUUUACUGGGUGUAAAGGGGGCGUAGACGGUUCUGAAAGUCUGAAGGGAAAGCCCGGGGCUUAACCGCGGAACGGCCUUGGAAACUGUGGAACUGGAGUGCGGGAGAGGCAAGCGGAAUUCCUGGUGUAGCGGUGAAAUGCGUAGAUAUUAGGAGGAACACCAGUGGCGAAGGCGGCUUGCUGGACAGUAACUGACGUUGAGGCUCGAAAGCGUGGGGAGCAAACAGGAUUAGAUACCCUAGUAGUC